UGGGGAAUUUUGGACAAUGGGCGCAAGCCUGAUCCAGCCAUGCCGCGUGCGGGAAGAAGGCCUUCGGGUUGUAAACCGCUUUUGUCAGGGAAGAAACGCUCCGGGCUAAUACCUCGGGGUAAUGACGGUACCUGAAGAAUAAGCACCGGCUAACUACGUGCCAGCAGCCGCGGUAAUACGUAGGGUGCAAGCGUUAAUCGGAAUUACUGGGCGUAAAGCGUGCGCAGGCGGUCUUGUAAGACAGAGGUGAAAUCCCCGGGCUCAACCUGGGAACUGCCUUUGUGACUGCAAGGCUUGAGUGCGGCAGAGGGGGAUGGAAUUCCGCGUGUAGCAGUGAAAUGCGUAGAUAUGCGGAGGAACACCGAUGGCGAAGGCAAUCCCCUGGGCCUGCACUGACGCUCAUGCACGAAAGCGUGGGGAGCAAACAGG
RNAcentral lists this ribosomal RNA (429 nucleotides) under uncultured bacterium. Its description in RNAcentral is "bacterial SSU rRNA". It matches the Rfam family "Bacterial small subunit ribosomal RNA", at positions 355 to 776 of the family's 1533-position model. The record is from RNAcentral.